RNAcentral lists this small RNA (127 nucleotides) under Marmota monax (woodchuck). The record is from RNAcentral. Lineage: Eukaryota; Metazoa; Chordata; Mammalia; Rodentia; Sciuridae.
GCUGGGCGUGAUGGUACUCGCCUGUAAUCCCAGCAACUCAGGAGGCUAAGGCAGGAGGAUCACAUGUUUGAGGCCAGUCUCAACAACUAAACAAGGCCUUAAGCAACUCAGGGAGACCCUGAUUCAA